Molecule: transfer RNA, 73 nt
Filed under: Capra hircus (goat)
Lineage: Eukaryota; Metazoa; Chordata; Mammalia; Artiodactyla; Bovidae
Also listed under: 1 other name
Rfam family: tRNA
About the family: Transfer RNA (tRNA) molecules are approximately 80 nucleotides in length. Their secondary structure includes four short double-helical elements and three loops (D, anti-codon, and T loops). Further hydrogen bonds mediate the characteristic L-shaped molecular structure. tRNAs have two regions of fundamental functional importance: the anti-codon, which is responsible for specific mRNA codon recognition, and the 3' end, to which the tRNAs corresponding amino acid is attached (by aminoacyl-tRNA synthetases). tRNAs cope with the degeneracy of the genetic code in two manners: having more than one tRNA (with a specific anti-codon) for a particular amino acid; and 'wobble' base-pairing, i.e. permitting non-standard base-pairing at the 3rd anti-codon position.
Source: Rfam by way of RNAcentral
GGGGGAUUAGCUUAAAUGGUAGAGUGCACACUUAGCACAUGAGAGGUAGUGGGAUCAAUGCCUGCAUCCUCCA